Molecule: long non-coding RNA, 437 nt
Organism: Bubalus bubalis (water buffalo)
Lineage: Eukaryota; Metazoa; Chordata; Mammalia; Artiodactyla; Bovidae
Exons: 3
Source: RefSeq, a predicted model, not a curated record
CCUGUGUAUUAGUGUAUAGUAACAAAGAAAGGAAACAGUUAGUGCCAAGUGAGUGACAUGCGGCUUCCAAGCCCCAUCCGUAUAGGAGUUCACUGGAUUUGGGCCACUAAGGAGAGCUCCACCUCAGAUCUCCAGGCAUUUAGAUCCCGGAGGUCAGGGACCCCCAAAGAAGUAGAGGGAAAUAAUCCCACAUUGGAUCACAGCCCGUUUCAGAAUUUCAAGAAGAGAUGGAAAGCUGCAUGAUAUGGUUGUUCCAAUAUCCAAGCCAAAGCAACAAAUGACCUUCAGAAUCCCAGGCCAUAGUAAGUGGACAAGGGGAACUGGAUUUUACACAAGGGAUGAGUGUGGUGAUCCUCCUCACAAUCUAAAGAAUCCAGCCCAUGAUAUAAACCUGUAUAAAUCCAUACAUAGGUUCUUAACCAAGAACUCACAAAUAA